This 119-nucleotide ribosomal RNA is filed under the name Lepisosteus oculatus (spotted gar). The record is from RNAcentral. Lineage: Eukaryota; Metazoa; Chordata; Actinopteri; Semionotiformes; Lepisosteidae.
ACCAGCAGCCAUAUCGCCCUGCAACUCACAACUGGCAACCCACUGAAGAUAAUCAGGUGUGAGCCUGGUCAGUACCUGGAUGGGAGACCUCCUGGGAAAAAUUAAGGUUGCUGCUGGAA